UACGAAGGGGGCUGGCGUUGUUCGGAAUUACUGGGCGUAAAGCGAACGUAGGCGGUGUUCCAUGUCAGAGGUGAAAGCCUGGGGCUCAACUCCAGAAUUGCCUUUGAAACGGGAACGCUUGAGUCCGAGAGAGGAUGGCGGAAUUCCUAGUGUAGAGGUGAAAUUCGUAGAUAUUAGGAAGAACACCGGUGGCGAAGGCGGCCAUCUGGCUCGGUACUGACGCUCAGGUUCGAAAGCGUGGGGAGCAAACAGG
This 253-nucleotide ribosomal RNA is filed under the name uncultured bacterium. RNAcentral's name for it is "partial 16S ribosomal RNA". It matches the Rfam family "Bacterial small subunit ribosomal RNA", at positions 524 to 776 of the family's 1533-position model. The record is from RNAcentral.